UACGAAGGGGGCUAGCGUUGCUCGGAAUCACUGGGCGUAAAGGGUGCGUAGGCGGGUCUUUAAGUCAGGGGUGAAAUCCUGGAGCUCAACUCCAGAACUGCCUUUGAUACUGAAGGUCUUGAGUUCGGGAGAGGUGAGUGGAACUGCGAGUGUAGAGGUGAAAUUCGUAGAUAUUCGCAAGAACACCAGUGGCGAAGGCGGCUCACUGGCCCGGUACUGACGCUGAGGUGCGAAAGCGUGGGGAGCAAACGGG
This 253-nucleotide ribosomal RNA is filed under the name uncultured bacterium. RNAcentral describes it as "partial 16S ribosomal RNA". It matches the Rfam family "Bacterial small subunit ribosomal RNA", at positions 524 to 776 of the family's 1533-position model. The record is from RNAcentral.